Molecule: unclassified non-coding RNA, 341 nt
Organism: Ictidomys tridecemlineatus (thirteen-lined ground squirrel)
Lineage: Eukaryota; Metazoa; Chordata; Mammalia; Rodentia; Sciuridae
Gene: NRON
Product: non-coding repressor of NFAT
Source: Ensembl
GGGAGCAAAUGGCGUCGGGAACUCUGGAACUUUCCUUUGUAUGUUACAUUAAUCCAUAUAAGAAAAUCUCUUUUAAUGAGGAGUGAUGUAGUUACAAACUCUCCAGAGCCAUAAUUAGAGCAAACUAAUUGAAGCUGUGUUUUGACACACUUUCCAAACUCACGGGCGCCGGCGACACACUCACAACACUGCUGCAGAAUCAUUAGGCUAAUAACACUCGCUCGCAUCCCGUGAAGCUCGCCCUCCCUCAGACGCUGUUUCUGCACCCGCCUGCCCUGUGGACUCCACUGAAGAUAUCAACUGUGAUUAUGAGCACUUUUGUGGAAUUCUAAUGUUAAGAG